This 466-nucleotide ribosomal RNA is filed under the name uncultured bacterium. RNAcentral describes it as "partial 16S ribosomal RNA". It matches the Rfam family "Bacterial small subunit ribosomal RNA", at positions 28 to 507 of the family's 1533-position model. The record is from RNAcentral.
GACGAACGCUGGCGGCGUGCUUAACACAUGCAAGUCGAACGGAAAGGCCCUGCUUGCAGGGUACUCGAGUGGCGAACGGGUGAGUAACACGUGGGUGAUCUGCCCUGCACUUCGGGAUAAGCUUGGGAAACUGGGUCUAAUACCGGAUAGGAACCAUCUUUAGUGUGGUGGUUGGAAAGUUUUUUCGGUGUAGGAUGAGCUCGCGGCCUACCAGCUUGUUGGUGGGGUAAUGGCCUACCAAGGCGGCGACGGGUAGCCGGCCUGAGAGGGUGUACGGCCACAUUGGGACUGAGAUACGGCCCAGACUCCUACGGGAGGCAGCAGUGGGGAAUAUUGCACAAUGGGCGCAAGCCUGAUGCAGCGACGCCGCGUGGGGGAUGAAGGCCUUCGGGUUGUAAACUCCUUUCGCUAGGGACGAAGCUUUGUUGUGACGGUACCUAGAUAAGAAGCACCGGCUAACUACGUG